AACGAACGCUGGCGGCAUGCCUAACACAUGCAAGUCGAACGAGACCUUCGGGUCUAGUGGCGCACGGGUGCGUAACGCGUGGGAACCUGCCCUUAGGUUCGGAAUAACUCCCCGAAAGGGGUGCUAAUACCGGAUAAUGUCUUCGGACCAAAGAUUUAUCGCCUUUGGAUGGGCCCGCGUUGGAUUAGCUAGUUGGUAGGGUAAAAGCCUACCAAGGCGACGAUCCAUAGCUGGUCUGAGAGGAUGAUCAGCCACACUGGGACUGAGACACGGCCCAGACUCCUACGGAAGGCAGCAGAGGGGAAUAUUGGACAAUGGGCGAAAGCCUGAUCCAGCUAUGCCGCGUGAGUGAUGAAGGCCUUAGGGUUGUAAAGCUCUUUUACCCGGGAUGAUAAUGACAGUACCGGGAGAAUAAGCUCCGGCUAACUCCGUG
Molecule: ribosomal RNA, 433 nt
Filed under: uncultured bacterium
Lineage: Bacteria
Description: partial 16S ribosomal RNA
Rfam family: Bacterial small subunit ribosomal RNA
Source: RNAcentral